This is a long non-coding RNA of Peromyscus maniculatus bairdii (prairie deer mouse), 2647 nucleotides long. RefSeq lists it as uncharacterized. The record is from RefSeq and is a predicted model, not a curated record. NCBI's taxonomy places the organism in Eukaryota, Metazoa, Chordata, Mammalia, Rodentia, Cricetidae.
UAUCAUGAGAAAACAGCACAAGGGCCAUUAGCCUGACUGAAACAGACUGGGUGAAAUGGUGUCCUAUGAUAAGGAUAAAUGAGGGGAGACAGGGACAGCCUAAAGAAAGUUCUGUGGGCUGGACACAAAGCUUUUUCCAAAGGCAUUGGGAACACUUUGGACGAUGAUUUAGACACAAGAAUGCUUUCUCCAGCUGCAAUGUGAAGAACGAACUAUAAGGAAAAGAAAGAUCUGACUAAGAACCACUGACCAACUUUUACAUUCCAGGCAAAAUCUGAUAGUGCCUUGAGUUCAAAUAGUCUUGGAGGUAGAGGCUGUUUUGUACGUGGCUUAUUUCCAAAGAAGUACCUCGAUUAAGCCAAGGCUGAGGAGCUACACAGCACCAGGGAGAGCAGAACUCAAUUUGCCUGUUGCUCUCAAAGCCAAGCGGAUGUGAGUGGGAAAGCAAGUGUGGAGUGACCGUGUGAGAAAGAUUACUUUGCCUUUCUGAAGGCCUGCUGGAAUAUGGAAUAGAUUAGGAUACUCGGAAGCUGUGAAUGCUGCAGGUCAUGCCGAGAAGGUGGGAAGUAGGUGGAGAGGUCAUCUCUCUCUGAGCAAAGAAGCAGGGAAGAAAACAGUUGGAGGAGAAUGAAGACAACGGAGAAGGCUGUGAAUAAAGGCCCCAUUAAUGAUAAAGGGGCGGUGGCAGGCACCUAGCCCUCUGGCUUCCAAGGUCCACUUUGCAUGUUCACUCUGCCCAGCCCCUUUGACUGUGCUGCUGGCAAAGGGCGAGAGGACAUUACAUGCUGAGAGAUCAUUGAAAGGCGUGAAAGGAGGGGAGAUAGAAAAGGGGGAAAUGAAUUGCUUUGAAAUAUCCAGGGAACAUGACAUUGCAAUGAUCAGAGCUUGAGAGGAGACGAGAGGAGCCUGGUUGAGUAGCCAGAGGUCAAAUGACUCUGUGACAUAUCUUUAGUGCUGUAGAGGAAUGGGGAGACACCAUGAUGCAUUGGGGUACCCCAAUUCCUCUUCUCACUUCUGUGAACCUCAGUUCAAAGCUGGUUUGUAGCCCCAUCCAGCGGCAUCACCACAUCUUCUUGAAUGAUCAGUGGGGAGUGAGGAAUCUUCCAGGUAACAGGUGCUGCUCAACAACUUGACACUAUGACUGAUGAGAUAGUUCUACAGUCAUGAGUAUAUAAUUCAUGUCAUCCCUAAAGCAGAAUGAAAGCUCUAUUAAAUUCUUAUUUUUUCAAUACCUUUUUAAAAAUCCAUGAUCUUUGUCUUUGAUUUUUAGAGAGGUCAUUAUCUUUUCCAGUUUGGGAGAGUGUCCAGGUCUAGAAACCCAACCUUCUUCCAGUUACGCACUGAAAAUAUUAGUCUCCAUGGGGAUUUGACAGUGUCUUAGUCGAUCAGCUUCUAUCUGCUGCAGAGACUUGAAGUGAGUUUUAAAAUAAGCAGUGAGUUAGUUUGCUAACUGAGCUGAAAAAAAAAAGUCAGGAUUGGCAAUGUAACUUGUAGAGCCCAGUGUGAGGCCCUUGUUCCAAAAUUACUAGUCAUUUCAUGAUGGCAAGAACAGUAAGUCAGUUUAAUAUGCCACUGUUCUGAUGUAUAACCACCCUGGAACCAGGGGGACAGAGAGUUGGGAGUGACUUGGUAUGCAGGACAAGACUAUAGUCAGCCUCCUGGCUGCAUCCCAUGGGAAUUACAUGUAAGCUCCUAGACAAGUAUUUUUGUUGUUGUUUUGAGACAUUCAUUUAUGUAGCCCAGAAUGCCCUCGAACUCAUGAUCUCUCUGCCUCAGCCCCUUAUUGCUGGGGUUACAGGCAUGUGCCAACAUGUCUGGACUUAAGGAAUUUUAAAUUUUGGCCCCAAAGUUACUUCUUUCAAAAUUUCCUAUGGAGUAUAUAUUCUUGGUUGUUUUCCAACAAAAGUUUGGAAGUGAAGGAAGGCUAGUCAUUCAAAUCAGGAGACAAUUUCCAUUAACCACUGGGCACAAAUUCCACCUGAAGGUAAAUAUGUCUUCAACUUGCCAUCUUAUUUACUAUAGAAAGCCCUCCCUCUCAUCCACUCUGUGAUAGACUAGACUGGUCCUAACCUUGGCAAUGAAGUAUUUACUCUAGUGGUUAGCUAUCUGACAAAUCCUACCUAACUUACAAGGUUUAGAGAGAGAAUACUCUACCCAUGAAGGGCUUUCCAUAACUCCCCUGGGAAGUCUAAUAGGAGUGUGUGGUGGGGAUUUGAGAGUCAAGAAAGGUAUUAGGGGUUUAGAACACCCAGAGCUGACUAAAGAUUAAAAGUAAGGAGCUCUGCAAGUUCAGAGAGAGAAGACACUCAAAGUUAAAAGGAGUGUGGAAAGGGGCAGUCCAGUCACAGGCGGACAUGGCAGAGAGGGGCUGAAAGAAAUACAGCUUGGUCAGUGAUGGCUCCUGUUUCCUCUGAGAUGUAUCAGGUCUAGACAUGAAGCAGAACAGGCCAAGGGCUGGUGCUAACCAGUCUUUGGAUUGAAUAAGCAUGAUGGGAGGUGGAUGAAAGAAGGCCCUGUGGAAAGGGCCAUAAAUAGACAUAAAUUCAGCUACGGAGAUCAGAAGACCAAGUCUGUACAUUUCCUAUUUCUAGUUUUGAAGUACAAAAUAUUCAUUCCAGAAUUGUUCCAUGCUAUGGUGUAUGAUAGG